Molecule: long non-coding RNA, 1239 nt
Filed under: Rattus norvegicus (Norway rat)
Lineage: Eukaryota; Metazoa; Chordata; Mammalia; Rodentia; Muridae
Description: long non-coding RNA NONRATT002568
Source: RNAcentral
UUCCUGAGAGUCUGCCAGCACUAAAGUUUCCUCCUCCACCCUCAUUAUUCUGUUCUUAUUUUCCUCGUAUCCGUUAUCAGUAUCAAGAAGCAGAACUGCCCAUGUCUUUACUAUGCACCGUCCCCCAUGACAGUUCCACGGGGCAGAAUACAAGCCCUCUCAUUCGGUGUCCUGCCCCAGCACCCACCUAGCUCACUGGGCACAUAGUUUCUUCUGUGAAUGCUGGCUGCAUGGAAGCAGGGAGGGACCUGCCUAUGAGGUGGCUCACCCCAUUGCCGGGCAGCACUAUAGGAGUACAUUCCAGGCAAACUUCAGGGGGCUCAAAAGUGAAUGACAGAUGCUCUGCCAGUGGCGUUUGCUCCAACACAGCAGCUACACUGGACUUGUUCUGUGUGUUACUUCUUGGCUCCAGAACCCUGCCCAAAACUAAAGGACACUUAAGAGUAGCCAAGAGAUGGAGAAGCACAGGACAAGGGGUUAGGAAGCCCCGAUUCUUGCUAGCUUGGUUACUGCCCAAGGGCCACUAUCUUCUGGGCAUUUUCUUCCUUAGCUUAGAAGAGCCCGCCCUCCUGUUCCUGAGGCUUGGCAGUGACCGGCAGCACCACCCAAUCCUUAUCAUCAGUUGCCUUUCUCCUUUGCAGUCACGAAAUCCAAGUGCCCCUCCUAUGUGGGAGUUACGGGAAUCCUUCUGCAGGAGACCAAGCAUGUCUUCAAGAUCAUCACCAAAGAAGACCACCUGAAAGUUAUCCCUAAGCAAAAUUGUGUGUUCACCAUAGAAAUUGAUGACUUCAUUUCCUACAUUUAUGGAAGCAAAUUCCAGCUUCGGGCAAGUGAGCGGUCUGCCAAGAAGUUCAAAGCAAAGGGAACAAUUGACCUAUGAACUCUUUGCCACUGGAGACAGAUGUCCCUGACACCUGAGAACUGGAAACACCCUGAGUGUUCACUUUUCCUUGAAGAACCUCUGGCUGUAGCCCGCCUCUAGUCCAGGGAAAACAGGGGCUGAAGAAUAUUGAACAACGCAAGAGAAAGCUAGGGGUAGAUAUUUGUAUUUUUAGCUAACUAAAGUUAGCUUUAGUUGUACAGGGAGGAAAGACUAGCAGAAAUACACCAGGAUUAACCUUAGUUCAUCUGAAGAAAAGGGCGUUUAGGUUCUGUCUUUCCUACUUCUCUCUGUGUAUCCUGAACAUUCUAGCUAAGUCAGUUAUUCAAGUAAUAAUAAAACCAGACCACAGGCAUAAA